Molecule: ribosomal RNA, 810 nt
Filed under: uncultured organism
Description: SSU rRNA
Rfam family: Bacterial small subunit ribosomal RNA
Source: RNAcentral
GGCUCUGAGUGAACGCUGGCGGUAGGCCUAACACAUGCAAGUCGAACGGCAGCACAGAGGAGCUUGCUCCUUGGGUGGCGAGUGGCGGACGGGUGAGGAAUACAUCGGAAUCUACUCUGUCGUGGGGGAUAACGUAGGGAAACUUACGCUAAUACCGCAUACGACCUACGGGUGAAAGCAGGGGAUCUUCGGACCUUGCGCGAUUGAAUGAGCCGAUGUCGGAUUAGCUAGUUGGCGGGGUAAAGGCCCACCAAGGCGACGAUCCGUAGCUGGUCUGAGAGGACGAUCAGCCACACUGGAACUGAGACACGGUCCAGACUCCUACGGGAGGCAGCAGUGGGGAAUAUUGGACAAUGGGCGCAAGCCUGAUCCAGCCAUACCGCGUGGGUGAAGAAGGCCUUCGGGUUGUAAAGCCCUUUUGUUGGGAAAGAAAUCCAGCCGGCUAAUACCUGGUUGGGAUGACGGUACCCAAAGAAUAAGCACCGGCUAACUUCGUGCCAGCAGCCGCGGUAAUACGAAGGGUGCAAGCGUUACUCGGAAUUACUGGGCGUAAAGCGUGCGUAGGUGGUUAUUUAAGUCCGUUGUGAAAGCCCUGGGCUCAACCUGGGAACUGCAGUGGAUACUGGAUGACUAGAAUGUGGUAGAGGGUAGCGGAAUUCCUGGUGUAGCAGUGAAAUGCGUAGAGAUCAGGAGGAACAUCCAUGGCGAAGGCAGCUACCUGGACCAACAUUGACACUGAGGCACGAAAGCGUGGGGAGCAAACAGGAUUAGAUACCCUGGUAGUCCACGCCCUAAACGAUGCGAACUGGA